This 497-nucleotide ribosomal RNA is filed under the name uncultured bacterium. RNAcentral's name for it is "partial 16S ribosomal RNA". It matches the Rfam family "Bacterial small subunit ribosomal RNA", at positions 28 to 507 of the family's 1533-position model. The record is from RNAcentral.
GAUGAACGCUGGCGGCGUGCCUAAUACACGCAAGUCGAGCGAACGGACGAGAAGCUUGCUUCUCUGAUGUUAGCGGCGGACGGGUGAGUAACACGUGGAUAACCUACCUAUAAGACUGGGAUAACUUCGGGAAACCGGAGCUAAUACCGGAUGAUAUUUUGAACCGCAUGGUUCAAAAGUGAAAGACGGUCUUGCUGUCACUUAUAGAUGGAUCCGCGCUGCAUUAGCUAGUUGGUAAGGUAAUGGCUUACCAAGGCAACGAUGCAUAGCCGACCUGAGAGGGUGAUCGGCCACACUGGAACUGAGACACGGUCCAGACUCCUACGGGAGGCAGCAGUAGGGAAUCUUCCGCAAUGGGCGAAAGCCUGACGGAGCAACGCCGCGUGAGUGAUGAAGGUCUUCGGAUCGUAAAACUCUGUUAUUAGGGAAGAACAUAUGUGUAAGUAACUGUGCACAUCUUGACGGUACCUAAUCAGAAAGCCACGGCUAACUACGUG